ACUCAUACCUGGCAGGGGAGAUAGCAUGAUUAUAAAAGUGGUUUUCCCAGGGUAAGGCUCAUCCAUUGCACUUAAGGUGCUGAUCCUUGUGAUUUCCCCAGAUGUGGGAAAAUCAACUGCCUAAUUUAUGGUAGUGCGGGACUGCGAUUGUGGUUUCCCCUA
This 162-nucleotide small nuclear RNA is filed under the name Pogona vitticeps (central bearded dragon). RNAcentral describes it as "U1 spliceosomal RNA (ENSPVIG00000013921.1)". It matches the Rfam family "U1 spliceosomal RNA". From Rfam's summary of the family: U1 is a small nuclear RNA (snRNA) component of the spliceosome (involved in pre-mRNA splicing). Lineage: Eukaryota; Metazoa; Chordata; Lepidosauria; Squamata; Agamidae. The record is from Rfam by way of RNAcentral.